Molecule: transfer RNA, 73 nt
Filed under: Camelus bactrianus (Bactrian camel)
Lineage: Eukaryota; Metazoa; Chordata; Mammalia; Artiodactyla; Camelidae
Also listed under: 2 other names
Rfam family: tRNA
About the family: Transfer RNA (tRNA) molecules are approximately 80 nucleotides in length. Their secondary structure includes four short double-helical elements and three loops (D, anti-codon, and T loops).
Source: Rfam by way of RNAcentral
GAGGGUAUAGCUCAAGUGGUAAAGCACAUGCUUGGCAUGUAUGAGGUCCCAGGUUUAAUCCCAAGUACCUCCA